Molecule: small nucleolar RNA, 136 nt
Filed under: Sorex araneus (European shrew)
Lineage: Eukaryota; Metazoa; Chordata; Mammalia; Eulipotyphla; Soricidae
Description: Small nucleolar RNA SNORA15 (ENSSARG00000019258.1)
Rfam family: Small nucleolar RNA SNORA15
About the family: ACA15 is a member of the H/ACA class of snoRNA that guide the sites of modification of uridines to pseudouridines.
Source: RNAcentral
UGGGUGAAUACUAUGUUCUUUUUCAACGUUUCACACAGCCAGACACCACACAAAAAGAAAAUUUUCCUUUGAGAUUAUUUUUUAUAGUAUGCUGGGGUUUUUUUAUGGCAUGUCAUUAUUAAAAGUGACUAUAAAG